CCGAACCGACUAAUGUUGAAAAAUUAGCGGAUGACCUGUGGCUGGGGGUGAAAGGCCAAUCAAACCGGGAGAUAGCUGGUUCUCCCCGAAAGCUAUUUAGGUAGCGCCUCGUGAAUUCAUCUCCGGGGGUAGAGCACUGUUUCGGCUAGGGGGCCAUCCCGGCUUACCAACCCGAUGCAAACUGCGAAUACCGGAGAAUGUUAUCACGGGAGACACACGGCGGGUGCUAACGUCCGUCGUGAAGAGGGAAACAACCCAGACCGCCAGCUAAGGUCCCAAAGUCAUGGUUAAGUGGGAAACGAUGUGGGAAGGCCCAGACAGCCAGGAUGUUGGCUUAGAAGCAGCCAUCAUUUAAAGAAAGCGUAAUAGCUCACUGGUCGAGUCGGCCUGCGCGGAAGAUGUAACGGGGCUAAACCAUGCACCGAAGCUGCGGCAGCGACACUGUGUGUUGUUGGGUAGGGGAGCGUUCUGUAAGCCUGCGAAGGUGG
RNAcentral lists this ribosomal RNA (488 nucleotides) under Salmonella enterica subsp. enterica serovar Enteritidis. Its description in RNAcentral is "partial 23S ribosomal RNA". It matches the Rfam family "Bacterial large subunit ribosomal RNA", at positions 774 to 1259 of the family's 2925-position model. Lineage: Bacteria; Pseudomonadati; Pseudomonadota; Gammaproteobacteria; Enterobacterales; Enterobacteriaceae. The record is from RNAcentral.